Molecule: long non-coding RNA, 883 nt
Organism: Juglans regia (Persian walnut)
Lineage: Eukaryota; Viridiplantae; Streptophyta; Magnoliopsida; Fagales; Juglandaceae
Exons: 2
Source: RefSeq, a predicted model, not a curated record
UUUAAAAUAAUUCUAGAUAUUUAUGCAUUAAUGAUUACAAUUAUCAUUUUUCUUGUAACUUUUGUUUGCUUUCAACAGCGUAGUAUCACGUAAAGGACGACAUACAUGAGUUGCCGCCCCGUUGCUGUCUGGACAUCAUGAUGAGUUGCGGCCAUAGACGCUUUCUUUUCAACAACUUUUAUCAAGAAUUCCAUGUCUUCCCACUAUUCAUCCUAGAGAGAGAAACAAUAUUACCAGGCUCGAACCCAAGAAGGAAAGGAAUUGGAAUGACCUCUCUCCUAUCCUUAUAACUUUGCUUUAAAUAAUUUCCGACAAUUUCCUUAAUGCUCAGAGUGCUUCUUGUUCUAUUGAGGUGCGGGCACCCUCAUCUUCAACCUCAUCGUCCUAGUGACUGCGCUCAUUGUCUGGGCCAUUCUCUAGCCAAGCAAGCCCAAGUUUGUACUCCAGGACGCUACCAUCUAUCUCUCUUACCGAAGUUCUUUGGUGCUCCUACUGAUCACAACGGCGGAUCUGGGCUGAGGAGUACGACGCUGCAUCACUUUUAGGUGGCUGGGCAAGACUAUCCUUGGCAGUGAUUUGACUCACGGAGGAGCUAAGGACAGGCACCAUACCUCGUGGACGAGGGGCCCUCGAUCGAUGGCAACUGCUAAGCUUAGAGGUUUUGUUCGGUGCCAUGGAGAACCACAGAGAGAGAGACAGCCACGGUUGAAGAGGGAGAGAGAACCAGAGACGAUCUGGUUUUUGAAUUAUCGGCACUAUAUAUAUAGCUUUAAUUGAUCAGAGAUUUCAUGAUUUCAUCUUCCAUCUCCAUUAAAAUCAUGAAAUAGUGCCCGCUUUAAUUGUGCUAGCUAGCUUUAAUAUUUAAGAAACUAUAUUUGUCGUC